This is an RNA transcript of Ipomoea triloba (trilobed morning glory), 3020 nucleotides long. It is a transcript of the gene named putative late blight resistance protein homolog R1B-16, with no coding region annotated. The transcript has 7 exons. The record is from RefSeq and is a predicted model, not a curated record. Lineage: Eukaryota; Viridiplantae; Streptophyta; Magnoliopsida; Solanales; Convolvulaceae.
UGGGCUUUAUUGAUGAUUUGAAAACCAUAAAAUCUCGAAUUAUGGAAGAAUCCAAAGAUUUUUUUGUCAUUCCAAUUGUGGGGAAUGCUGGGACAGGAAAAACUACAUUUGCCUUAAAGAUUUUUGAAGAUCCGGAAGUUAGGAAAAUUUUCACCCAUUGCAUUUGGGUUCAUGUUUCACGAGGGUGUCAUAGAAAGCAAAAAUUCAUUGACAUUCUGCAUCAAAUUUCCAAACAAACAAAAGACUUUAGCACGGAGUUAGAAGAUGAUGAGUUGGAAGCUAAAGUAAAGGGAUUAUUAAAGGAUGAAAGAUAUUUCAUUGUAUUGGAUGAUGUGCGAGAAAAAGAAGACUGGGAUUCUUUAAAAGUUGCAUUCCCUACAAAUUUGGGAGGGAGUAGAGUCUUGGUAACCACCUUGAGCGGCAAUGUUGUUGAUUCUACCUGGAAAUCUCAUAGUUUAGGAAAGUUGAGCAAUAAUGAUGGUUGGUUGCUGAUAAAAGAUAAUGUUUUUGGUACAGAGGGAUGGUGUGACACAUUAAUUGAAGAGCUUGGGAUAAAAAUAGCAGAAAAGUGCAAUGGAUUACCACACGCUCUAGUACUGGUAACUGGUAUCCUACGCAAUUGUAUAACUUCAGUUAGUUGGCAACGAGUGGCUGAUAAUCCGCUUCUAGAAAUUAACGGAGAAGACCAAAGCUACCAUGAGUUAGUAAAAUUGAGCUAUGAUGAUUUGCAUGAUGAGAGGUUGAAAAAAUGCUUCUUAUAUUUUGCAUAUUUUCCCAUGGGACAUGAGAUUGUUGCUUGGAAGUUAAUUUGUUUGUGGAUUGCUGAAGGAUUCCUUCCAAAAGGAGAUGGGUACCUUUUAGAGGUAGAGGUUGAAGCUUCAAAAUAUUUGAAUGUUCUUGUUAAUAGAAAUCUUGUGAUGGUGAAGAAAAGAAGCAUAGAUGGUCAAAUCAAAACAUGUUGCAUUCAUGACACAUUACAUGAGUUCUGCAGAAGUGAAGCUGAAAACACAAAGUUAUUCCAUGUAAUGGAUGAGGGGCAAAGAUUAAAUGAAAGAAUUUAUUUGGAUAGACUUUGUUCAUACUACACUAUGAACAUAUUUGAUCAUGUAGAAAACAAUAAUCCAUCUGAUUCAUUCUCCAAUCUCUUCAACAAAAGGAUGGGUCCACGUCAAGAUGCUGAACUUGUUGAUUCUUUGUUGAUAUCCUCCUCACAAAAGAGAGAGAUUCAUUCGACGCCAGAGCAGUUGGAAACCAUCCUAAAAACCUUUAAAUAUCUUGAGGUGUUGAAUAUUGAAUCCCUUAAAUUUAGCUCGCUGCCAAAUGAGCUUUAUUCCCGACGCUAUAUCAAGUAUCUUGCAAUCACAGCUGAUAUCAAUUCCCUCCCCAAGUCAUUCGAACAUCUUUCGUCGUUGGAGACUCUAGUGAUAAAAACCACAGAAAGGGCACUACAAAUUAAUGGAGGCAUAUGGAACAUGAAAGACUUAAGGCAUGUGCACACCAACACCUCUACGCAAUUACCCUCCCCUCCCAAGAGAGGUAAGCAUAGCUGUAAACAAACAGAUAUCCGCACACUUUCUACCAUAUCACCAGGAAGUUGCACAAGCAAGAUCUUCAACAAGACCCCCAAACUCCAAAAGUUAGGUGUUCGUGGAAAUUUAUCAGAACUUCUCGAGGAAAAACAAAAUGUUUGCUUGUUCAAUAAUCUUCAAAUGCUAGAAUGCCUCGAAAACUUGAAGCUUCAUGGCAACUCUGAGAAAUUAGAGUUGAAGGUCCCAAUGUCCAAUAAGUUUCCAAGAAGACUAAGAAAGUUGACCUUGUCUGGUACAUUAUUUCAAUGGAAUGACAUGAUUGUAUUGGGAUUGCUGGAGAAGCUCAAAGUACUCAAGUUGGAUGACAAUGCCUUCUCGGGGGAACAUUGGGAUCUAAGCAGUGAUGUUAUUUUCAAAACGCUUCAGUAUUUGCGCAUUGGUAAGAUGAACCUCAUAACUUGGACAGCUGUGGACUCAGGGAAAAGCUUUCCAGUUCUUGAAAGCCUGGUUCUUAGGAAUUGUAUUUCCCUAGAAAGUAUUCCACAGGAUUUAGCUAAUGUGGACAGCCUUAAAGUGAUGGAACUGUUUGAUGUGAGCGAAAGUGUGUUUGAUUUUGCAAGAGAGAUUUGUGUGAAAAGGCAUGGAAAAACAAAUGUCAAAAUCAAUGGAUUCAACCUCUUCAUCACUCCUCUUCCGUCACAAGCAACGGUACACAACCAAGCAUAUGGGAAUGAACAUGUCAAAACCAGUGGAUUCAACCACCCUAGCACAUCUAUUUCGUUACAAGAAAUUCUACAUAAUCAAGCAUAUGGGGAUGGAAAUGUCAACACCAGUGGAUUGGGCCAGCCCAGCAACUCUUCUUCAUCACAAGAAAUCGUACAUAACCAAGCAAAUGAGAAUGAACAUGACAAGACCAAUGAAUUCGACCACCCUAGCACCUCUAUUCCGUCACAAGAAAUAGUGCAUAAGCAAUGGCAUGGGGAGGAAAAUGGAUGGUCUCGACAGUCCUAGACUCCUAGUUUCUGAUGAUUAACCCUCCGGUCAUCGAUGUGAACUGCUUUCUUGAAAUAAAAGGGUUAAAGUUGAUAUGUGUGUUUUUCUUGGUGCAAAGAAUGUGCCGAGAUCAUAAAUGAGCUACCUAUUUUUAUUUCUUUCUUGUCAGUGAUCUUAUCUAGAGCUCAGACAUGUGGUUCGAUGAAUUCCCAUUUCAAGCAUUGAGUGGCACGUACGCAUUCAUGUUGAAAGCCAAUUUAAGUGUGUUUUAGUGAUUUGAUAUUGUUGGGAGACUAUUUUUGUAUUGCCAAUUUGUGAUUACUUUCUCAUGACUUUUAUAUGGUAUUUUGGUAUCGUAGUCAAGGACUCAAGGCUAGCUUGUUUAUCAUUUUUUUUUUUUUGAUGUAUUGCUUAUUUGUCUUAGCAGUGUGGGUUUGCUUGUGAAGGUAAAACACUCAUUUUGGUGACUCUAAAAUAAAUUACUGACUAUAUGUUCCA